CUCCAGGUGAGAUCAUGAGAAGCUAGGGAUGCCUAGUAUUUAGUUUAUAAGAACAGAGCGCCAAAGAAGAUUUUUUAAAAAAUUGCAGUGGAAAUUGCUGAUUGCUGGAAAAGAAGUUAACAUGAUCUUAUUUAAAACAAUGAAAAGAACUUUUUAGCAAUUAAUUUUCCCUAAGGUGAAAACUUCGCUAAGUCAAAGCUACGGUUUGAGAUUUAGCUGUGAGAAUUGCUCUAAUAUGGAGAGACAGCCUUUGGCAAAAGCAAGAGGGGAAGCUGGCUGAAAUUUCUGUAUUUCCACUCAGUUUCUCCAACAAAACCUGCUGGUUGAAGGUCCUGCACUCGGUGGAUCAGCUGUCACCACCAAGACUGACAAACUGGCUCAUCUAGUCUUGUGGCCCGCACCCAGCAACUGACUCAGCACCAGAGGACAGCUUCACUUCCCUGAUUUCAUCUCCAACCCAACUGACCAGAACUCCCAACUCACUGGCCUUCCCCUACCCACCAAAUUAUCCUUAGAAACUCUGAUCCCCUAGUGCUCGGAAGACUGAUUUGAGUAAUCAUAAAACUCCAGUCCCCCACACGGCUGGCUCUGUGUGAAUUACUCUUUCUCUAUUGCAAUCUUCCUGUCUUGAUAAGUCAGCUCUGUUCAGGCCACAGGCAAGGUGAACCCUGGGCUGUUACACCCUGAUGGGGUUACCUUUGAGAAGAAAGCAUCUCCAGAACGCAAGAAACAGAAUCUUUCUUUUGCCUUUUCCAGCUGUCUUGGAGGGAGACUUUUACCAAAGCUCCAGGUCACUUUGCACACAGGGCUGCGCUUGGGGCAGAGCGGCUCUGACCAUAUAUUUAGGCCAAGCUGGGGCCUUCUAUUAAUACCACUGGCGAUUUGGAAGCAGACUCAUCAGGUUGGUGUAUGUGAUGAAUAGCCAUGGAUAUUUAUAUAUUUAUAUAUGCAUCACUUAACAAGGGGAAUAUGUUCUGAGAAAUACAUUAAGCAAGUUCAUCAUUGUGCAAACAUCAUGGAGUGUACUUACACAAACCAAUAUGGUGUAGCCUAUUAGACACCUGGACUGUCUGGUAUUGUCUAUUGCUCCUCCACUGCAAACCUGUACAGCAUGUUACUGUGUUGAAUACUGCAUGCAAUUGUAAUGCAAUGGUAAGUAUUAGCAUAUCUAAACAUGCCUAAACAUAGAAAAGGAACAGUAAAAAUGCAGGAUUACAAUCUCUUUGGACCCCUGUCAUAUAGACAGUCUGUUGUUGACUGAAAUGUACUUAUAGUUGUAUGGCGCUUGACUGUAUUUCCAUGAAA
This 1305-nucleotide long non-coding RNA is filed under the name Homo sapiens (human). RNAcentral describes it as "HSALNT0066894". The record is from RNAcentral. Lineage: Eukaryota; Metazoa; Chordata; Mammalia; Primates; Hominidae.